GGCGCAGAGUUGGUCCUGAAUUGACGGCCCAACCUGGUCCAGAUGAACGACUGAGAUAAAAAGAUACGCUGACAUUUCUGCGCUCGGAGAUCAGGUCGAAGUUGUCCAACGUCAGAAGUUUACUCCUUAAACUGAAAGGCAAGAUUGAUCAUCCUGAAGAUCUUCAGCACAGUAAGGAGCGUUGUUUUUCUUUUAUUUUGUGCCGUGCCGCUGC
This is a long non-coding RNA of Cynoglossus semilaevis (tongue sole), 214 nucleotides long. RefSeq lists it as uncharacterized. The transcript is spliced from 3 exons. The record is from RefSeq and is a predicted model, not a curated record. Lineage: Eukaryota; Metazoa; Chordata; Actinopteri; Pleuronectiformes; Cynoglossidae.